Molecule: unclassified non-coding RNA, 341 nt
Filed under: Hevea brasiliensis (rubber tree)
Lineage: Eukaryota; Viridiplantae; Streptophyta; Magnoliopsida; Malpighiales; Euphorbiaceae
Source: RNAcentral
GCCUAUAGCCCUUCUUCUUUAAUUAAUGGCUCUCUCAACUAAAUUGUUAAACAAGAAAUUAUUUAAUGAUCAUGGUGGAAAUUUAUGGUCAGAUUUUGGCACCUUUGCCAAUUGGGUUCGCUGUGUUCUUGGUGCACUUGGCUACUAUCCCAAUUACAGGAACUGGUAUCAACCCAGCUCGCAGUCUUGGCGCAGCAAUCAUCUUCAACAAGGACAAGGGCUGGGAUGAUCAUGUAAGUCUUUAAACUCCCAACUUUCUUUCUCAAAGUCCUACUAGAAUUGACUUUACUUCUAUAUUCGGUGUGCUGUGUGCAGUGGAUUUUCUGGGUGGGUCCAUUCAU